CAAUAGCGUAUAUUAAAGUUGUUGCAGUUAAAAAGCUCGUAGUUGGAUUUGUGGCGUACGGUGGGUUCCGGGCACUUGUUGUCUGAGUAACUUGCUGUUGCCAUCCUUGGGUGGAACCUGUGUGGCAUUAGGUUGUCGUGCAGGGGAUGCCCAUCAUUUACUGUGAAAAAUUAGAGUGUUCAAAGCAGGCUUAUGCCGUUGAAUAUAUUAGCAUGGAAUAAUGAGAUAGGACUUUUUUGCUAUUUUGUUGGUUUGCGCAAAGAGGUAAUGAUUAAUAGGGACAGUUGGGGGUAUUCGUAUUCCAUUGUCAGAGGUGAAAUUCUUGGAUUUUUGGAAGACGAACUACUGCGAAAGCAUUUACCAAGGAUGUUUUCAUUAA
This 379-nucleotide ribosomal RNA is filed under the name uncultured eukaryote. RNAcentral's name for it is "partial 18S ribosomal RNA". It matches the Rfam family "Eukaryotic small subunit ribosomal RNA", at positions 592 to 976 of the family's 1831-position model. The record is from RNAcentral.